ACCUUGUGUCAACAUAGACUUAGUCAUCUGUAUCACCCCAUUCUGAAUUUAUCGAUUACAAAUAUAAUAAAAAAAACAGUAUUUUAAGAAUAUCACAUAUUCAUAUUAGAAUUAUUCAAGAUGUGUGCAAAAAUGGCAUUUCAACACCAAGCCGGUACGGCUAUGGAGUGUUUAAGUAUUCCAAUAACUCUUCAUAAAGAGGUUGAUGGCGAUACUCUCCGUUGUGGAUUUAAAAUCGGAGGAGGAAUAGACCAAGAUUUCCAUAAAAGUCCUCAAGGAUAUACAGAUAAUGGCAUUUAUGUAACAGAAGUACAUGAUCAUAGUCCAGCGUCUAAGGCAGGACUUCGGAUUCAUGAUAAAAUACUACAAUGCAAUGGUUAUGACUUCACGAUGGUGACUCAUAAAAAAGCUGUGAGUUAUAUCAAGAAACAUCCCGUUCUAAACCUUCUUGUGGCAAGAAAAGGUGUCACAUCAACAUAAAACAAUUGUUAUUUAAAUUUGUAUGUAUUAUAUUAUAGUUGAAUGUAUGUGUGUAUAAAGGUCGAUUCUCACUAUACGUUCCGUUUACUUUCCAUAUCCGUGGCUUUCCGUUUACGUACAAUAUUAUUAAAUACAAAUCACAUAGUAUAUGCCCACUUUCCGUUCCUUUUCUACCAUUCCCGAAGCCUUUGGUAACAAGUCGUGAUGUGACAGGUAUGCUAUAGAUAGUGUGAAUAUUUUUAACCCUCGCGGUUUAGUUGAAGUUGUUGAGACAAAAUAUGAACGAUGAAAAAUUGAUAGAGCUUUGAGAAUAAGAUUCAGGUCGAGAGCAUUUAUACUGAUUUGUCAAAUGCCUUUUACAGGGUUAAUCAUAACCUGUUGGUUCACAAACUUCUUGCAUCCGGCAUUGUUAAUUGGAUUAAAAGUUUUUUGAUGGGAUGUACACAAGUUCGUUUUAACAAUUAUAUUUCAAAAUAAUUCCAUUGUUGUUCUGGUGUCCCACAAGGGUCUCAUUGUAGUCCCGUGUUUUUAACUUGUUUUGUAGAGAUAUCUUGCAAGACGGUGUAAAUAAUAUAUGUUUAUGGUCGAAACAUAAUGGUUUAAGCUGAAAUCCAACUAAAUGUUCUUGUAUUUCAUUUGGUCUUAUAAAUAUUUUAAUCUUAUCUAAUAGAUAUGUUUUUAAUGAUGUACUCUUGGAUUCAGUUACUGAGAUUAGAGAUUUUGGUGUAUUAUUGGAUUGUGCAUUGACAUUUAGAAGCCAUUUUCUUAAAAUUAAGAAAACAGGAUGUCGUAAUUUUGGUUUUAUUUAUCGUAACAGUCAUGAUCUCUCAUCUACAGUAUUAGAAUUAUUGUACGGCUCUCUGGUACACUCAGGUCUUGAAUACUGCUGUGUUGUUUGGCCUCCAUUUCAUCAGGUUGGGAACUGAUAUAUUAUUUCUGUUUAAAAUUCUAAACAACUCUAUUAAUUGUCCCUCGUUAUUAGACAAAUGUGUACUUAGACACUUGAAAAGUUGCCACCCCCUAUAAUUUGGUCCCUAUAGAAAAUCUAAAAAUAUACAAAAACACGUCAAAUUUAUUUAUAAGGGGGACAUUUUGUAGACCUAUAGAACUAAAUUACACUAACCCUCUAGCGGGGGCGGACACAACCCCCAAAAUAUUUAAUGGAAAGGGGGGUUGAGUGAUACCUCAUUUUAAAGGUCGUUCGAUUACCUUUUCAAAAAUACCACAUACAUUAUAUUUCUCUUCAAUAAUUUUGGAAAAAUCAAGUGAAACUGUAAAGAUAUUAAAUACAGUGAAACUUGGAUAAUUCGAAUCUCAGGGGACCGUUAAAAAAAUUCGAAUUAUCCAAAAAUUCGAAUUAAAAAAUAAAUCAACAAAAACAAGGAUUGCCUACAAAAACAUCUGCAAAUGAUAAAUAUCAGUAGUUGAUCAGCAAAAAAACAGCAGUUGAUCAUUUUUAUUGCUUGGAGAUGUUUUUGUUCCUAUUCUUGCACGAAUUUUGUCAACCUAAAAAAAUGGGCUAAAAAAUUCGGCCAAAAAUACCAAUUAAAACAUUUGAAAGCUAUAAAAAAGACCGACUUCAUUUUUUUUCCAAAGAGAUCCGAAAAUUUUAGCUGAUUUUUAGAAUUUAGCUUCUCAGUAAUGACAAAAGAUUCUAAGAUAUCCAGAAAAGAUAGCAGAAAAGUUCGAAUUAUCCAAAAUAUAAUUCGAAUUAUUCACGACUUUUUACCAUUACUUAAAUAGGAAAUAAGGACCAGAAUAAAAAUUCGAAUUAAAGAAGAUUUCGAAUUAAGCAGGUUCCACUGUAUCGAGUUCAGAACUCCAAAAAUUUUUUUGGAGUAUUGAACUCCAAAUUGAAUUUUUUUCGGGGUGUUGAAGUAUUUAGAGUGUUUUUUUGAAGUAUUUUUGGAAAAAUCAAGUAAAACCGUAAAGAUAUUAAGUAUCGAGUUCAGAACUCCAAAAUUUUUUAGAGUAUUAAGUCCAAGAUUUUUCCAAAAGUACAGAAAAGAAAUAUAAGGCAUGUGGUAUUUUUGAAAAGGUAAUUUAAUGACUUUCAAAAUGAGGUAUCACUCAACCCCUCUUUCCAUUAAAGAUUUUGGGGUUGUGUCCGCCCCCACUAUAGGGUUGAUGUAAUUUAGUUGAAAACUGGUCUACAAAAUGUCCCUCUCACAAAUAAAUCUGACGUGUUUUUGCAUAUUUUUAGAUUUUCUAUUGGGACCAAAUUAUAGGGGGUGGCAACUUUUGAAAUUGACACACUGUAGAACUCUCAACACACUGCACUUUUUAUAUUACUUUUCAUAGGACUGAUUAGGCUCGUCAUUUUCCCUUGCCUAGAAUGCUCAGCUUUUGCAAUGACCUGUUACUGUAUCCAUUCUGUCCAAACAUUAAUGUUUUCAAAAGGCAACUUAGAAGUUUAAUGAUCUAAAUAUGUGAUAUCUUUUUACAUUUUGUGAUUUGAUAUAUUGUUUUAAUGUACCUACAAAUUUUAAAUUGUUUAAUUGUCUCGUUUUCGUUGUUGUUUUGAUGUUUAUUGUACAUAAUCUUUACUUUUUACUAUUUUUUUUAUUUCAUUGUAAAUGGUUGUACCAUAUGAGUCAACUAUUCCUCGUCAGCCGUAAUGGUUGGGUGAAAAACAAAGUUUUAAUGUGUUUGUAACGUUUAAGUGGAUGUUUUUCAUGUUUUUUUCCUGUUCCGGGGUUGCACAAGAAAGCGCUUAGCUAAUGAAAUAUUAUAAUUUUACACACUUCAAUAUACAAUUUUUUCGCUUCCUUUAUUCAGUCAAGUGUGUACAAAAUUUAUCAGUCUUUCAAGUAUCCAAUAAAUAAAUAAACUUGUCUGGUGUAAUAACUUAUAUGAUUUUGAAAAUAAAAAAUACAGUAAUAAUACAUUUAAAGACAAUAUUUGGUCGGCUGUUGCCAAGGAAUUAAAUUAUUUUCUUUAUUCAAUAUAAUAGCUGUUUUAAAUUUUCUUCAUUACACAUUUUAUCAAGCCAGAAAAAAAACACGCGUAUUCCUGUCAAAAACUUAGGAUAAAAUGUCACCAAACUGGAACAAAAUAUGUAUGUACAAUAUUAAACGGAGACGGAAACGCAACAUGUACUAAUGAGAAUGGUGGUUAACAUAACGGGAGGUGUAUGUAAAGAAGGUUUCACAUUAUGCUGUUUCCAUGCUAGGCAAGACGGCAAGAGCCAUGCAAGACAGAUUAGGCAACUGCGCAUGCCCACGCGCUAUUUCCAUGCAAUUCCUGUGCUAGACGAAAAAUUAAAACGUUUUCUAUUUUUCACGCUAUUUGAUGCAAGUUGUUGUCAAAUUUCAUAUUACUAACAUAACAAAAUUUAUAGUUUAGAAUAAAACUUAACCUUAUUGUGUAAAUUUAAAUGUUAUUUAUUGGAAGUAAUAAUAAUUUGUGAUUUAUACUUGAAUAUAUUUAAUGUUGGACUGAAAUUUUCAAGUGAAAUAGCUAAAGUUAAUGUUUUGGUAUAUUUCUUUUGUUGGCAGCAAUGAAAGUGGUAUCAAAAAUUGCACAGAAAUAGCUCAGAUGUAAAAAUGUCAGGCUAUGCAAGAGAUAUGCCAUGCAAGACGGACUUGCACAGCAUGAGACUUGCAUGGCAUAUCUCUGGCCUAGCCUGACCUUUUUUACAUCUGAGCUAUUUCUGUGCAAUUUUUGAUACCACUUUCAUUGUUGCCAACAAAAGAAAUAUACCAAAACAUUAACUUUAGAUAUUUCAUUUGGGAAUUUCAGUGUAACAUUAAAUAUAUUCAAGUAUAAAUCACAAAUUAUUAUUAUUUCCAAUAAAUAACAUUUAAAUGUACACAAUAAGGUUAAGUUUUAUUCUAAACUGUAAAUUUUGUUAUAUUGGCAACAUGAAAUUUGACAACUUUCAUGAAAAUAGCAUGAAAAAUAGAACAUGUUUUAAUUUUUCGUCUAGCACCAGAAUUGCUUGGAAAUAGCGCGUGGGCAUGCGCAGUGGCAUGAUCUGUCUUGCAUGGCUCUUGCCUAGCAUGAAAAUACAAUAAUGUAAAACUGCCUUGAAGCUGCUUUUGCGGGUAUGUAAUGUAAACUGAAUGUAUAGUGAGAAUCGACCUUAAGUGCCUAUUAAGUUUGUAGCAUAUUGUGUGCGCUAUAGUCUGAAUUGUGGAAGUAUUGCGAUGGAAAGUUAUUUUAUGGCUGUGUGUGUUCGUGUGCCUAAGUUGAGUGGAACGAGAAUAUGCUUUGUUGAGAAUGUUGUAUCUAUUGGUAAAUGUGUACCAAUGCUUGUGCGGGUGUUGUAAUCAGUUACCAAGAACUACAUAAUGAAAGUGUGUGGACAUUUUGUAGAUAUUUUGUUCUAUAUAGACAAUAUUCUAUUGUGUUUAUUACUAGUUAUUAUUAUACCUUAAGAGCCAUUUUUUAUUGUGAAAUUUGUAAGUUUUCUUCAUUAAUAAACGAAGUUUGGUUAUUA
This 4921-nucleotide unclassified non-coding RNA is filed under the name Diabrotica virgifera virgifera (western corn rootworm). RNAcentral's name for it is "tax1-binding protein 3 homolog". The record is from RNAcentral. Lineage: Eukaryota; Metazoa; Arthropoda; Insecta; Coleoptera; Chrysomelidae.